Molecule: non-coding RNA, 742 nt
Organism: Carica papaya (papaya)
Lineage: Eukaryota; Viridiplantae; Streptophyta; Magnoliopsida; Brassicales; Caricaceae
Source: RefSeq, a predicted model, not a curated record
AUAUGCGUAGUUCGUGGUGAUUGGGCUUGUUAAGUUUUUCCUUAAAUCAAUCUCCGGCUAUUCUCCACCUGUGGUUUUCUGCAUUGUUGUCUUGCUCAAGAAACAUAUAACAGGGAGGAGGACGAGCUGGUUCUUCGUGGUGGUCUGUUUGGUUGUUUUUUACUUUGCUACAUAUUUCAGUUGCAUUCUCAGGAUUUUUCAGCGUCUGCAGGGUCUUUGGGAGUCUAAUUUGCGGGAAAGAAACUGGGUUACUGGAACUUUCAUUCACUGAAGCAAGAAGAAGAAGGGAGUGAGAGCUCAUGAGAGCUUAGAACCCCCAUUAUAAAGUCCAGAGCGGCACUCCAAAGGUUUCCAUAAUCUUCCAAGUAUGACAAGCAUUUGGGUUCUGACUGGAGGAGAAUGUGAUACCAACUAAUGUCGCAUGCGAUGCCCUUCUAGAAGGUUAUUGUUGAACAUGCCAUGUUCAGAUGGCAAUUGGAUUGAUGGAUAAAAUGACAAGAGAGGGAAUUAACCUAGAUGCUAUAUUUAAUCAGCCCAUAAGCAGGUAGGUUUAAGUUAAGAAGCAUUAAGAAUGGUACAAGAAUUUCUAGUUUGUGAAUGUUUCCACUAACAAUUCUUUGGUGAAGAGUUUAUUUGAGGAGAGAUCUUGUCAGCACUAGCAAGAUCCUUAAUUUGAUAAGAUGCAUAAUGGGAACAAACUAAGGUGGACUUUUUUAAGAAUGAAGAAGUCUUUUCAUCAUAA